CCUGGUGGGUUUACAUCUCUGCCAGUCUGUGCCAUCUCUGUCGGGCUUCAUUCCUUCUCCCGGGGUGUGUGACCUAUGUGAAGCUCACAGUUCUAUGAUGCUUUCUCUGGGGUCUUCCAGGGGAUCUCCUGCCCCCCGCCCCGAGAGGAGGAGAUGCAGGAGGGGGGAUAGGAGAUUCUGACUGGAACCCACAGAGGAGCUAGGUGAAGCUGGAGAAGCCACGCAUUUUCCUCAGUGAAAAUCGGAUGGACACUCACAACGCCUGGCCUACGUUGCCAUCUGCUUAAAGGAGAUCAAAUACAGGGGAGUGACUUGUGAAUUACAAAGCACCAUACAAAUAUCAAUUACCAUUAUGGUCCUUGACUUCCCAGCAGUCCCCAGGGGCUGGAAUAAGAGCCAGUAACUUACAGAAUAAUGAGAAUAAUGACUAACAAUUAUGCAGUACUCACAGCUCUGAGGAACCACACUUCAUGUGAAGUAUUUAAUUCCUCGACCCCUAGCGUAGAUAUUGUACUAGGCCUUUCGGCUCCAGGCGAGGACUGGAGGUGUGGAGGGCUUGUGGUCGGGAGUUCAAGUUUUCCCUUCAGCAAACACAAACAUCCUGCUCCAGGAGGGUCCACUCUUUUGCAGUGCUGUGGUGUGGAUGCGACGUGUCCCUCAAAACUCCUGUUGAUGCAGGAAUAUGCAGAGGGCAGGUGCUCAGCCUCUUCCUGUUGACCGGAAUGGUUUCCUCCUGGUUCAUGGGCACCUGGAGAAGGAGGCGGGAUUUCCUACCUGUUCACAGUUCCAGGGCUCCUGAAACCCUGCCAGGGAACGCCACAAGAACCCCCAUUUCCUGGGAGAUCUGGACACGAUUCCUGUUUUACAAGCCCUGGGACAAGCCGAGUCGCACUCUGCAAGCCAAACUCCCCACUGGGCCACACCCUCGCCCUGGACACACUGGGACCACUGACUCCAGGUGAAGAACAGCAGCGCUGGAAAUUUGUCCUCCUGGUGCACGCCAUGAAGUAAGCAUCUUCCUCUGUGAGUUACUCCCACCAAGACACGCCACCUUGCCACAGACCAAAGCAACAGGGCCAAUGGAUCAUGGAAUGGAACCUCCACAGCAGUGAGUCAAAAUAAACCUUUCCUCUUUUUGAGUAUCUAAGACAUUUUGUUACAGUAGUGGGAA
This is a non-coding RNA of Ictidomys tridecemlineatus (thirteen-lined ground squirrel), 1171 nucleotides long. NCBI's taxonomy places the organism in Eukaryota, Metazoa, Chordata, Mammalia, Rodentia, Sciuridae. The record is from RefSeq and is a predicted model, not a curated record.